RNAcentral lists this ribosomal RNA (440 nucleotides) under uncultured bacterium. RNAcentral describes it as "partial 16S ribosomal RNA". It matches the Rfam family "Bacterial small subunit ribosomal RNA", at positions 338 to 795 of the family's 1533-position model. The record is from RNAcentral.
CCUACGGGUGGCAGCAGUGAGGAAUAUUGCACAAUGGAGGGAACUCUGAUGCAGCGACGCCGCGUGAGUGAAGAAGUAAUUCGGUAUGUAAAGCUCUAUUAGCAGGGAAGAAAGUGACGGCACUUGAAAAAGAAGCUCCGGCUAAAUACGAGCCAGCAGCCGCGGUAAUACGUCUGGAGCAAGCGGUAUCCGGAUUUAUUGGGUGUAAAGGGCGGGUAGGUGGGAGUGCAAGUCCGAAGUGAAAACCCAAGGCCCAACUAUGGGAAUGCUUUAGAAACUGCUCGGCUAGAGUGCAGGAGAGGCAAGUGGAAUUCGGGGUGUAGCGGUGAAAUGCGUAGAUAUAAGGAGGAACACCAGUGGCGAAGGCAGCUUGCUGGACUGUAACUGACGCUGAGGCUCGAAAGCGUGGGGAGCAAACAGGAUUAGAUACCCCUGUAGUC